Molecule: ribosomal RNA, 145 nt
Filed under: uncultured Microlunatus sp.
Lineage: Bacteria; Bacillati; Actinomycetota; Actinomycetes; Propionibacteriales; Propionibacteriaceae
Description: partial 16S ribosomal RNA
Rfam family: Bacterial small subunit ribosomal RNA
Source: RNAcentral
UACACGAUUGGCGAACGGGUGAGUAACACGUGAGCAACCUGCCCUUGACUCUGGAAUAACAGCUGGAAACAGCUGCUAAUACCGGAUAUGACCUCUUACGACAUCGUACGGAGGUGGAAAGCUCCGGCGGUCAAGGAUGGGCUCG